CCUACGGGUGGCAGCAGUGGGGAAUAUUGGGCAAUGGGCGCAAGCCUGACCCAGCAACGCCGCGUGAAGGAAGAAGGCUUUCGGGUUGUAAACUUCUUUUUUGAGGGGCGAAAGAAAUGACGGUACCUCAUGAAUAAGCCACGGCUAACUACGUGCCAGCAGCACCGGCAAUACGUAGGUUGCAAGCGUUAUCCGGAUUUACUGGGUGUAAAGGUCGUGUAGGCGGGACUGCAAGUCAGAUGUGAAAGUUAUUGGCUCAACCCAUAACUUGCAAUUGAAACUGGAGUUCUUGAGUGCUGGGGAGGCAGGCGGAAUGCGGGGUGUAGCGGUGAAAUGCGUAGAUAUACCGAAGAACACCAAUGGCGAAGGCAGCCUGCUGGACAUUAACUGACGCUGAGGCGCGAAAGCGUGGGGAGCAAACAGGAUGAGAUACCCCUGUAGUC
RNAcentral lists this ribosomal RNA (443 nucleotides) under uncultured bacterium. RNAcentral describes it as "partial 16S ribosomal RNA". It matches the Rfam family "Bacterial small subunit ribosomal RNA", at positions 338 to 795 of the family's 1533-position model. The record is from RNAcentral.